ACGGGAGGCAGCAGUGGGGAAUAUUGGGCAAUGGGCGAAAGCCUGACCCAGCGACGCCGCGUGAGGGAAGAAGGUCUUCGGAUUGUAAACCUUAGUCAACAGGGAAGAAGCAAGUGACGGUACCUGUGGAGGAAGCCACGGCUAACUACGUGCCAGCAGCCGCGGUAAUACGUAGGUGGCGAGCGUUAUCCGGAUUUACUGGGUGUAAAGGGAGCGUAGACGGUGAGGCAAGUCUGAAGUGAAAUGCAUGGGCUCAACCCAUGAACUGCUUUGGAAACUGUCUGACUAGAGUGCAGGAGAGGUAAGUGGAAUUCCUAGUGUAGCGGUGAAAUGCGUAGAUAUUAGGAGGAACACCAGUGGCGAAGGCGGCUUACUGGACUGUAACUGACGUUGAGGCUCGAAAGCGUGGGGAGCAAACAGGAUUAGAUACCCUGGUA
Molecule: ribosomal RNA, 437 nt
Filed under: uncultured Lachnospiraceae bacterium
Lineage: Bacteria; Bacillati; Bacillota; Clostridia; Lachnospirales; Lachnospiraceae
Description: bacterial SSU rRNA
Rfam family: Bacterial small subunit ribosomal RNA
Source: RNAcentral